This 2111-nucleotide long non-coding RNA is filed under the name Heterocephalus glaber (naked mole-rat). RNAcentral describes it as "lncRNA (ENSHGLG00100052505.1)". The record is from RNAcentral. Lineage: Eukaryota; Metazoa; Chordata; Mammalia; Rodentia; Bathyergidae.
CAGGAGGCUGCGCAUUGGCUGCGGGGAAAAUCAAUUAUCAAAUAAUCGAUCAGCAGGGAGCUUCGAUCUGCCGGGAAUGUAAACUGCCAGUACCGAUUCCCGCCCUGACGGUGGCCAAAAGGCUGACUCCCUCAAAGCGACCGGCCUGAGCUCCCAUCCCAUGGUCCCCACCCCCAUCCCACCCUGCCAGCUGUGGAGCAAACCCUCGCCCCAGAGGGGAGAUAGUUGGUGGGAAGAGUUUUGAGAAAGAUUAGGGGGCCCCCUUCACUGGGAGUUUGUUUGGAAAAGGUUGAGAGCUCUCAAAUGUAUUGAAGCCAACUCUUAGGCGCCAAGUAAGAGAAUUUGCAUCCGUCCGCGAAGUAGGACUCAAGUUUCUUCUGAGUGGGCUUCUGAGGAGCAGGGGACCUGGGCGAUCUUCAAAACGUAGAGCUGCAGUAUUGCUCCACCGAGCGCUGGUAGCCUCCCUAGGCGACACCUAUGGCUUCUUCUAGCGCUCCGCAGGAGCUAGCGCCGGGGUGGUUCACCCCAGCCGUGGAGCCUUCGUGGAAAGCUGAGCAGAUGAGCCUUCCCAGCCUACUGCACACGUCCCCGCCCCCAACCUGAACUUGCUCCUUCUGUGCCUGAAGGGUCGGCACACAUUCACCCAAAACCUUCAGAUGAGCUUUGAGUUGAAUGAGCUCAACUGUUACAAAAGAAAAAUCUCCAGAGUCCCUUAGUACUUACCUGUCUCUUCUUUCUUAAUUUCUAGUUUCUGUCUUCAAUACUCAAAUUUUAAGAUAUUUUACUUUUAUCCACCACGUACUUGUAUACUGUUUUCUAACACAGUUACCCUGAUACAUCUCUUGGGAAGUUAAGGCAGGCCUGAGAGUCAAAGCCAAGGGGGGCUUUGGGGAAGCCAGGUGAAUUACCAGAGCCAACGCCUAACUCUGAGCCCGCCCCCCCCCUUCCCCUCGCAGUUUGAACUUGAAAGCAGCUUUUCAGGCCAAGAUGGAACCUUCUGAACUCAGGAAAGCGAUUUUUAAUUUUUGCGAAGCCGAGCUGGCUAGGCCAGGCAGCGCACUUCUUUUCCGAUUAUGGGGAGGGCUGCGCUGGGCCGUCAGCAGUGAGCUCUUCCCCAGCUCCUGAGGGCUGUGGCCCACACCUGAGCGCCUUCCGACAGCUACUCCCGGGGGUGGGAGCGCUGUCUCCCCAGCAGGCCUGCCAGGCAUCAGCGCGGCUUGGGCGGGGGGGGCGGGAGGGGGUCCAACCAGACACCAACACAGGCUCCUCUACGUUUAUGGUCCUUAAAUGAACUGCGAGGAAGGUUAUAAGUGAAAGAAGGAAGGUUCAGAUACAUUGAAGAGCCUGGGGUGACAUUGACUCUAAGCUUACAGCAUGGGGAGCUCAGGAUGGUUUCAUUUCACUUCUGCAGAAAAGUCCCUACAACAAAAGCUAACAAGCAGAAAAUUCUUCCAGGAACGGAUCACAAGUGAGCACAGCUCUGUCCUGUAUUCUAAGCUAGUAAUGGAGGUACAGUACGGGAGCUGAAGAGGUCUAGCAGACGUGCUCCAGUCAUCAACUGCAAACAUUUACCUUUGAAGCAACUGGAUGAGCCAGAUUGGUUAUGGUUUGCAUCCAUGUUCGACUUGAUAAAGGGGCAUAAUUUGUGAAAAGCCUUCAGGCAAAAAUCGUACUGAUUAUUCAAAACUAAAUAUUUUAACAUUUCAUUGAGUUAGCUAAUGAAUAAGAAAAACAUCGAAGGCUUCCUGCAGCUCAGAAAGAAUUCUAGUGGCGUGGAAAGCACAAGGAGCAAAGAACAAGAAACUGAAGGACUCCUGCUGAGCAGUUAUUCGCUUGUGAAUAUCUGAAAAUGUAUUCUUCUGUGCGUUAUUUAAAAAUGAAAAAUAAACAUCAUCUUUCCUUGUCUUUUGUUUUUAAAUGAACGUCUGAUAGCUUGCUAAAAAAUUUUUUUCUGAGUAAUUUAUGCGAGAAAGGGCCAAUUCGAAAACGUGUAACUAAUGGGAGAAGUCCACGUAUAAGCCGCAAACAAAUCGGUUUGAAGCCGAGCCCACAGCCCUGCGAGGCGCCACUGCUUCCAAGCUCAGGGAGGAUAACUUCAUCUACCGGCAGUU